UACGAAGGGGGCUAGCGUUGCUCGGAAUGACUGGGCGUAAAGGGCGCGUAGGCGGUUUGGUUAGUUAGGCGUGAAAUUCCUGGGCUCAACCUGGGGGCUGCGCUUAAUACAGCCAGACUAGAGUGUGAAAGAGGGUCGUGGAAUUCCCAGUGUAGAGGUGAAAUUCGUAGAUAUUGGGAAGAACACCGGUGGCGAAGGCAGCUCGCUGGGACGUGACUGACGCUGAGACGCGAAAGCGUGGGGAGCAAACAGG
This 253-nucleotide ribosomal RNA is filed under the name uncultured bacterium. RNAcentral describes it as "partial 16S ribosomal RNA". It matches the Rfam family "Bacterial small subunit ribosomal RNA", at positions 524 to 776 of the family's 1533-position model. The record is from RNAcentral.